CCUUGGUCAGGUUGAAGUUCAGGUAACACUGAAUGGAGGACCGAACCGACUUACGUUGAAAAGUGAGCGGAUGAACUGAGGGUAGCGGAGAAAUUCCAAUCGAACCUGGAGAUAGCUGGUUCUCUCCGAAAUAGCUUUAGGGCUAGCCUCAAGUGAUGAUUAUUGGAGGUAGAGCACUGUUUGGACGAGGGGCCCCUCUCGGGUUACCGAAUUCAGACAAACUCCGAAUGCCAAUUAAUUUAACUUGGGAGUCAGAACAUGGGUGAUAAGGUCCGUGUUCGAAAGGGAAACAGCCCAGACCACCAGCUAAGGUCCCAAAAUAUAUGUUAAGUGGAAAAGGAUGUGGCGUUGCCCAGACAACUAGGAUGUUGGCUUAGAAGCAGCCAUCAUUUAAAGAGUGCGUAAUAGCUCACUAGUCGAGUGACACUGCGCCGAAAAUGUACCGGGGCUAAACAUAUUACCGAAGCUGUGGAUUGUCC
Molecule: ribosomal RNA, 479 nt
Filed under: Staphylococcus aureus
Lineage: Bacteria; Bacillati; Bacillota; Bacilli; Caryophanales; Staphylococcaceae
Description: bacterial LSU rRNA
Rfam family: Bacterial large subunit ribosomal RNA
Source: RNAcentral